UUUAUAGCUCCAGGAUGAACUUUAGAGGGUGGGUUCAUGUCACAGGCACAAACGCUGGCGCGUGUGCUUCAACACGUUUGAGGAGCGCGCUCAGAGAGGAGCUUGCUCAUCUCAGAUGAGUGGCGAACGGGUGAGUAACGCGUGGACAACCUCCCUUGAGGCGGGGGAUAACUUUUGGAACCGAUAGCUAAUACCGAAUACCAAUGAAUGCCACAUGUCAUUAAUUUAAAAGGGGCUAUGGCUUCACUUCGAGAUGGACCCGCGGUGCAUUAGCUAGUUGGUGAGGUAAUGGCUCACCAAGGCGAUGAUGCAUAGCCGACUUGAGAGGGUGAUCGGCCACAAUGGGACUGAGACACGGCCCAAACUCCUACGGGAGGCAGCAGUAGGGAAUCUUCCACAAUGGGCGCAAGCCUGAUGGAGCAACGCCGCGUGAGUGAAGAAGGUUUUCGGAUCGUAAAGCUCUGUUGUAAGUGAAGAACGGCUGUGAGAGUGAAUGUUUCACGCUUGACGGUUUCCUACCAGAAAGGGACGGCUAAAUACGUGCCCGCCACCGCGGUAAUACGUAAGUUCCCAGCGUUAUCCGGAUUUAUUGGGCGUAAAGCGAAGGCAGGCGGUUAUGUAAGUUUGAAAGAAAGCCCUCAGGUUCACCCAGAAAUCGCUUGGAAACUGGCAAACUGAGGCCAU
This 684-nucleotide ribosomal RNA is filed under the name Streptococcus thermophilus. RNAcentral describes it as "bacterial SSU rRNA". It matches the Rfam family "Bacterial small subunit ribosomal RNA", at positions 1 to 650 of the family's 1533-position model. Lineage: Bacteria; Bacillati; Bacillota; Bacilli; Lactobacillales; Streptococcaceae. The record is from RNAcentral.